Long non-coding RNA from Ictalurus punctatus (channel catfish), 1153 nucleotides. RefSeq lists it as uncharacterized. Lineage: Eukaryota; Metazoa; Chordata; Actinopteri; Siluriformes; Ictaluridae. The record is from RefSeq and is a predicted model, not a curated record. The transcript is spliced from 3 exons.
UUAGACACUGUGUGUUUUCAGUGUUGUCUUUCUCUUUCCUACAGAUGGUGAUGUGAUCCUGGAGAGUCCUGUCCAUCCUGUAACUCAGGGACAUCCUCUGACUUUACGCUGUUUACAUCACAACUCAAAGAUCUCAGACUCUGGUGUUGAUUUCUAUAAAAACGAUUCAAUUCUCCAGUCCCAGACUACAGGAAAGAUGACCAUCAGUACUGUCUCAAAGUCAGAUGAAGGUUUCUACCACUGUAAACACCCAGAGAGAGGAGAGUCACCGAAAAGCUGUGUUUCAGUCAGAGAUGGUGACCAUCAUUCUGGCAGUGAAAUAUUACAGAGCUCGAACUGACCCCGAUGAGAACAACAGACCGUACAGAGUGAUAGAAGCUGAAGCGUCUGUCUGAGCCUCAGGUUUUUACAUUAUUUUUAUCAUCUAGCUUUUAAAUAACAGCAGCUCCCAGAGCAACAGAGAACACAUUCGUGUAUGUGCUCUGUCAGUAAGUACAGUUUUAGUGAUGAGUGGCUGUGAUGCUAUUUACAUUUACAUUUAUUCAUUUAGCAGAUGCUUUUAUCCAAAGCAACUUACAAAUGAGGAAAUACAAGCAAAGUGACAUAUCAAGCAAAGAACAAUACAAGUACUGCUACUAUACAAGAUUGACAACUGAGUUCUAGAGAAGCAAAGUGCACAGAGUAGAGGAGUAAGAGCCAGAGUAAGUUUUAUUAUUUUUAUUUUUUAUUUUUUUUUAAAUAAUGUGGGGUAGGCAUUUUAGGGGAUAGUUAAAUGCUCACAGGAGAGGUGGGUCUUUAGCUGUUUUUUGAAAAAUUCUGUGAUUUCUGUUUUUCUGGGAUUUGGGAUGAAAGCGUUAAUUCUCAUCUUGCAUGUCUUUUUUUAAUGGAGUGAUUUCAAUUCCUGAUAUAUUUGUAAUACUCAUAUGCAUUUAUUUGUUUACUGUUUAAGCUUUACUUUGUAUUAUUGAUGAUGUUGUUGUUGUUGUUGUAGCUAUACGAUUUUUAAUUUGUUUAAAUUGAAUGUUAAUUUUAAAAUGAUUAUAUUUAAUUAAUUUAGCAUUUACUCAGGGAUAAAUAUGCAUUGUGGUUUGAUACACUGUAAUAUUUGUAAUUAAAUGGAGUAAUUCUUAUUUUGUAAUAUUUUAUGAAGUAA